AAAUUCUAACUAUUACAUCCAAACAUUGAACUUUGAUUACAUUAACCAAAAUACAACUCUUUUCAUAUUCAUUACAUUCACUUUCAAAAUACAUAGUUCAUAUCUCAACUACAACCAUUACAUGUCCUUUUCAUCAAAACAAAAUAUGAAAGUAAGAGGGUACACCUAACACACAAAAAAAGGUUCACUACCUAGGCCGCUAUGCCUUUACCAUGAUCCUCGACCGCCCCGCUCGCGCAAGGAUCUUCAAAAU
Molecule: long non-coding RNA, 253 nt
Filed under: Ananas comosus (pineapple)
Lineage: Eukaryota; Viridiplantae; Streptophyta; Magnoliopsida; Poales; Bromeliaceae
Description: long non-coding RNA (ACOM_LNC015207)
Source: RNAcentral